This is a non-coding RNA of Paramuricea clavata, 182 nucleotides long. Lineage: Eukaryota; Metazoa; Cnidaria; Anthozoa; Malacalcyonacea; Plexauridae. The record is from the annotation of a GenBank genome assembly.
CAAGUUUGGUGUUUAUGACGUCGAUAUUCGACGUCAUAAACACCAUCAAAUUUGGUGUUUAUGACGUCGUCAUAAACACGAUCAAAUUUGGUGUUUAUGACGUCGAUAUUCGACGUCAUAAACACGAUCAAAUUUGGUGUUUAUGACGUCGAUAUUCGACGUCAUAAACACGAUCAAAUUUG